UUCUUAUCCAGAGAGGCGGAGGGACUGGCCCUUUGAUGCCCGGCAACCAUCGAAUCAAUCUAAUGAUUGACGAGAACGGUGCCAAUUCCUGUAGGAUGGUGACAUCCUAAGAGAUGAGAG
Molecule: non-coding RNA, 120 nt
Filed under: Halobacillus halophilus
Lineage: Bacteria; Bacillati; Bacillota; Bacilli; Caryophanales; Bacillaceae
Also listed under: 1 other name
Description: SAM-I sequence
Rfam family: SAM riboswitch aptamer (S box leader)
About the family: The SAM riboswitch is found upstream of a number of genes which code for proteins involved in methionine or cysteine biosynthesis in Gram-positive bacteria. The SAM riboswitch acts at the level of transcription termination control.
Source: RNAcentral